UGGGGAAUAUUGGACAAUGGGGGCAACCCUGAUCCAGCAAUGCCGCGUGUGUGAAGAAGGCCUGCGGGUUGUAAAGCACUUUCAGUAGGGAAGAAAAGCUCGGGGCUAAUACCUCCGGGUCUUGACGUUACCUAAAGAAGAAGCACCGGCUAACUUCGUGCCAGCAGCCGCGGUAAUACGGAGGGUGCAAGCGUUAAUCGGAAUUACUGGGCGUAAAGCGCACGCAGGCGGUCGGGUGAGUCGGAUGUGAAAGCCCUGGGCUUAACCUGGGAACUGCAUUCGAUACUGCCCGGCUAGAGUAUGGGAGAGGGAAGCGGAAUUUCCGGUGUAGCGGUGAAAUGCGUAGAUAUCGGAAGGAACAUCAAUGGCGAAGGCAGCUUCCUGGCCCAAUACUGACGCUCAGGUGCGAAAGCGUGGGGAUCAAACAGGAUUAGAUACCCCUGGUAGUCCACGCUGUAAACGAUGAGAACUAGAUGUUGGGAGGGUUUUGCCUCUCAGUGUCGCACUAACGCGCUAAGUUCUCCGCCUGGGGAGUACGGCCGCAAGGUUG
This 550-nucleotide ribosomal RNA is filed under the name uncultured bacterium. RNAcentral's name for it is "bacterial SSU rRNA". It matches the Rfam family "Bacterial small subunit ribosomal RNA", at positions 355 to 896 of the family's 1533-position model. The record is from RNAcentral.